This 601-nucleotide ribosomal RNA is filed under the name uncultured Tomentella. RNAcentral's name for it is "bacterial SSU rRNA". The stretch from base 1 to 365 matches the Rfam family "Eukaryotic small subunit ribosomal RNA", at positions 1469 to 1831 of the family's 1831-position model. Lineage: Eukaryota; Fungi; Basidiomycota; Agaricomycetes; Thelephorales; Thelephoraceae. The record is from RNAcentral.
GCCCUUAGAUGUUCUGGGCCGCACGCGCGCUACACUGACAGAGCCAGCGAGUUUUUCACCUUGGCCGGAAGGUCUGGGUAAUCUUGUGAAACUCUGUCGUGCUGGGGAUAGAGCAUUGCUAUUAUUGCUCUUCAACGAGGAAUUCCUAGUAAGCGUGAGUCAUCAGCUCGCGUUGAUUACGUCCCUGCCCUUUGUACACACCGCCCGUCGCUACUACCGAUUGAAUGGCUUAGUGAGGUCUUCGGAUUAGCUUCGGAGGGCCGGAAACGGCCCACUGUUGCUGAGAAGUUGAUCAAACUUGGUCAUUUAGAGGAAGUAAAAGUCGUAACAAGGUUUCCGUAGGUGAACCUGCGGAAGGAUCAUUACCGAAUUGUCAACACGAGUUGUUGCUGGUCCUCAAAUGGGGGCACGUGCACACUCUGUUUACACAUCCACUCACACCUGUGCACCUUCUGUAGUUCUGGGGGCAUGGGGGACUCUGUCCUCCGUCAUUGGUCCCUACGUCUUUACACAACACCCUGGUAACAAAAGUCUCGUGGAAUGCAAUACGCGUUUAACGCAAUAAAAUACAACUUUCAACAACGGAUCUUUUGGCUCUCCC